AUUGAACGCUGGCGGAAUGCUUUACACAUGCAAGUCGAACGGCAGCACGGGGGCAACCCUGGUGGCGAGUGGCGAACGGGUGAGUAAUACAUCGGAACGUGCCCAGUCGUGGGGGAUAACGUAGCGAAAGCUACGCUAAUACCGCAUACGAUCUACGGAUGAAAGCGGGGGAUCGCAAGACCUCGCGCGAUUGGAGCGGCCGAUGGCAGAUUAGGUAGUUGGUGGGGUAAAGGCUCACCAAGCCUUCGAUCUGUAGCUGGUCUGAGAGGACGACCAGCCACACUGGGACUGAGACACGGCCCAGACUCCUACGGGAGGCAG
This 321-nucleotide ribosomal RNA is filed under the name uncultured bacterium. RNAcentral's name for it is "bacterial SSU rRNA". It matches the Rfam family "Bacterial small subunit ribosomal RNA", at positions 30 to 351 of the family's 1533-position model. The record is from RNAcentral.